This 400-nucleotide ribosomal RNA is filed under the name uncultured bacterium. Its description in RNAcentral is "bacterial SSU rRNA". It matches the Rfam family "Bacterial small subunit ribosomal RNA", at positions 30 to 431 of the family's 1533-position model. The record is from RNAcentral.
AUUGAACGCUGGCGGCAUGCCUUACACAUGCAAGUCGAACGGUAACGGGCCUUCGGGUGCCGACGAGUGGCGAACGGGUGAGUAAUGCAUCGGAACGUACCUUUCAGUGGGGGAUAACGUAGCGAAAGUUACGCUAAUACCGCAUAUUCUGUGAGCAGGAAAGCAGGGGAUCGCAAGACCUUGUGCUGAUUGAGCGGCCGAUGUCAGAUUAGCUAGUUGGUGAGGUAAAGGCUCACCAAGGCGACGAUCUGUAGCGGGUCUGAGAGGAUGAUCCGCCACACUGGAACUGAGACACGGUCCAGACUCCUACGGGAGGCAGCAGUGGGGAAUUUUGGACAAUGGGGGCAACCCUGAUCCAGCCAUGCCGCGUGAGUGAAGAAGGCCUUCGGGUUGUAAAGAC